AACAAUUUUCGGGGCAGGGUGAAAUUCCCUACCGGCGGUAUAGCCCGCGAGCCAUUUUGGCAUGACUUGGUGAGAUUCCAAGGCCGACAGUAAAGUCUGGAUGUGAGAAAAUUAUU
RNAcentral lists this non-coding RNA (116 nucleotides) under Clostridium sulfidigenes. Its description in RNAcentral is "FMN sequence". It matches the Rfam family "FMN riboswitch aptamer (RFN element)". From Rfam's summary of the family: The RFN element is a highly conserved domain that is found frequently in the 5'-untranslated regions of prokaryotic mRNAs that encode for flavin mononucleotide (FMN) biosynthesis and transport proteins. This element is a metabolite-dependent riboswitch that directly binds FMN in the absence of proteins. Lineage: Bacteria; Bacillati; Bacillota; Clostridia; Eubacteriales; Clostridiaceae. The record is from Rfam by way of RNAcentral.